UUCUGGCUCAGGAUGAACGCUAGCUACAGGCUUAACACAUGCAAGGUCGAGGGGCAGCAUUGGAGUAGCAAUACUUCAGAUGGCGACCGGCGCACGGGUGAGUAACACGUAUCCAACCUGCCGCUUACUCGGGGAUAGCCUUUCGAAAGAAAGAUUAAUACCCGAUGGUAUAAAGAGUUCGCAUGUUCUCUUUAUUAAAGAAUUUCGGUAAGCGAUGGGGAUGCGUUCCAUUAGAUAGUUGGCGGGGUAACGGCCCACCAAGUCUACGAUGGAUAGGGGUUCUGAGAGGAAGGUCCCCCACAUUGGAACUGAGACACGGUCCAAACUCCUACGGGAGGCAGCAGUGAGGAAUAUUGGUCAAUGGACGAGAGUCUGAACCAGCCAAAAGUAGCGUGAAGGAUGACUGCCCUAUGGGUUGUAAACUUCUUUUAUAAGGGAAUAAAGUGAGGGACGUGUCCCUUUUUGUAUGUACCUUAUGAAUAAGGAUCGGCUAACUCCGUGCCAGCCGCCGC
This 512-nucleotide ribosomal RNA is filed under the name uncultured bacterium. Its description in RNAcentral is "bacterial SSU rRNA". It matches the Rfam family "Bacterial small subunit ribosomal RNA", at positions 17 to 518 of the family's 1533-position model. The record is from RNAcentral.